AUGAGAUCGACGAUAACCCCUGACGGGACUUCAUUUUCAGCUCUUGAUGUUUACAACCUUUUGACAGUUUUAACUGUUCUUCUGCAAAGACUAUACAGACCAGAAAUAACCAGGGGAGGAUAUCACUGUAAUUUUGUGACUCCGACUCCUCAUCAGACAGCCCCGCACCAGCCCGCCUCCGCCGCCCACAGCGACGAGGAUAUGAGCCGGAGCCGCCUUGCCGGCAAGGGGGAGCCGCGGUCGCCUCGCAGUCGUCCACAGAGUCGCACAGGAGCAGAGAGCCAACAGUCAUUUCUGGAAAGCACUCUUAAUCAUCCUCUGACGACUGACGGGACUUCAUUUUCAGCUCUUCAUGUUCACAGUUUUUGUCAGUAG
This 375-nucleotide ribosomal RNA is filed under the name Triticum aestivum (bread wheat). Its description in RNAcentral is "partial small subunit ribosomal RNA". The record is from RNAcentral. Lineage: Eukaryota; Viridiplantae; Streptophyta; Magnoliopsida; Poales; Poaceae.